UUUGAAGCACCGGUCCCCGUAUGAUCUCCGAAGUUAAGCAACGGCGACCCUUGUAAGUACCGAGAUGGGUAAUCGCUUGGGAAUACCAAGUGCUGU
This is a non-coding RNA of Acanthosepion pharaonis, 96 nucleotides long. The record is from the annotation of a GenBank genome assembly. NCBI's taxonomy places the organism in Eukaryota, Metazoa, Mollusca, Cephalopoda, Sepiida, Sepiidae.